GGAGAGUUUGAUCCUGGCUCAGGACGAACGCUGGCGGCGUGCCUAAUACAUGCAAGUCGAGCGGACAGAUGGGAGCUUGCUCCCUGAUGUUAGCGGCGGACGGGUGAGUAACACGUGGGUAACCUGCCUGUAAGACUGGGAUAACUCCGGGAAACCGGGGCUAAUACCGGAUGCUUGAUUGAACCGCAUGGUUCAAUUAUAAAAGGUGGCUUUUAGCUACCACUUACAGAUGGACCCGCGGCGCAUUAGCUAGUUGGUGAGGUAACGGCUCACCAAGGCRACGAUGCGUAGCCGACCUGAGAGGGUGAUCGGCCACACUGGGACUGAGACACGGCCCAGACUCCUACGGGAGGCAGCAGUAGGGAAUCUUCCGCAAUGGACGAAAGUCUGACGGAGCAACGCCGCGUGAGUGAUGAAGGUUUUCGGAUCGUAAAACUCUGUUGUUAGGGAAGAACAAGUACCGUUCGAAUAGGGCGGUACCUUGACGGUACCUAACCAGAAAGCCACGGCUAACUACGUGCCAGCAGC
This 528-nucleotide ribosomal RNA is filed under the name Bacillus paralicheniformis. RNAcentral describes it as "bacterial SSU rRNA". It matches the Rfam family "Bacterial small subunit ribosomal RNA", at positions 6 to 515 of the family's 1533-position model. The record is from RNAcentral. Lineage: Bacteria; Bacillati; Bacillota; Bacilli; Caryophanales; Bacillaceae.